CCUACGGGAGGCAGCAGUGGGGAAUAUUGCACAAUGGGCGCAAGCCUGAUGCAGCGACGCCGCGUGAGCGAUGAAGGCCUUCGGGUCGUAAAGCUCUGUCCUAAGGGAAGAAUAAUGACGGUACCUUAGGAGGAAGCCCCGGCUAACUACGUGCCAGCAGCCGCGGUAAUACGUAGGGGGCGAGCGUUAUCCGGAAUCACUGGGCGUAAAGGGUGCGUAGGCGGCUCUGCCAGUCAGUAGUUAAAUCGCUCGGCUCAACCGAGGUCAGCUCUUGAAACUGUAGGGCUUGAGUUCAGGAGAGGAGAGCGGAAUUUCUAGUGUAGCGGUGCAGUGCGUAGAUAUUAGGAGGAACAGCAAUGGCGAAGGCGGCUCAAUGGACUACAACUGACGCUGGGGCACGAAAGCGUGGGGAGCAAACAGGAUUAGAUACCCUGGUAGUC
This 440-nucleotide ribosomal RNA is filed under the name uncultured bacterium. RNAcentral describes it as "bacterial SSU rRNA". It matches the Rfam family "Bacterial small subunit ribosomal RNA", at positions 338 to 795 of the family's 1533-position model. The record is from RNAcentral.